This 36345-nucleotide long non-coding RNA is filed under the name Malus domestica (apple). RNAcentral's name for it is "long non-coding RNA (MDOM_LNC008263)". Lineage: Eukaryota; Viridiplantae; Streptophyta; Magnoliopsida; Rosales; Rosaceae. The record is from RNAcentral.
AAUAUUAAUAACUCAUUCGUGGAUUCGUUAAGCAAGCAAACCGGUAGGUUAUUUUAUGUUAGUGAUGUACUUAUUUAGAAUGUUCAGUAAUAAUAAAGUAUGUAUUGGAUCAGUUAAUUUUAUUCCAUUAGAUUGAUUGUUUAUAGUUGUGACUAGAUGGAAUGUUACGGGAAACCAGUUACUUUCCAUCGAGUUGAUUAAUUAGAGGUUACUUUGGUGGGCAUACAAAGUGAAAUGAGUUCAGCCAUUAUUUAUGCUGUGAAAGCAAAGAGAUUGUUUUGAAAGGCUGCCCAAAAAAAAAAAAAAAAAAAAAAAAAAAAAAAAAAAAAAAACUUAGUUCAUGUGGUGCUAAAUGAUGUUGUUUGGAGUAGUGUGAAUAAUGUCGAAAGGGUUAGACUUUUCUUGAUGUCUUCCUUGAAAGUAUACCUGGAUUGCCUUCAGGCAGAGAUAUGAGAUUCACUAUUGAUUUGUUGCCAGGUAUAAAUUUAUGUUAAAGAUUGGUUCAUGAUGAGUUAAGGGAAUUGGAAAUUCAGUUGAAAGAAUUGGUUGAUAAAAGUUUUAUUCAACCUAGUACAACACUUUUGAGGAGCACCAGUUUGUUGGUGAGAAAGAAAAUGGACUUAGAGAUUGUUCAUUGAUUAUAGACAAUGGAAUUGGUAACGAUAGAGAACCGUUAUCCAUGAUAGUGUACUGAUGUUUAGUUGAUAAGCUCAGAGAUGUUUGGGUAAUUUCAAAGAUUGAUUGAGGUCUGGUUAUUACCAAUUGAAGAUUUUGAGCGACAUUGAUCAUAAGAUGGUUUUCUGGAUUUGUUAUGAUCUUUUAUGAGUUUGGUGAUGCUAUAUGGAUACUCAUGCUGUUUUAUGAGUUGAUGGGUGAAGUAUUCCAAUAAUGACUUGAUAAAGUGAUAUCAUUUUCAUUGAAGAUAUUCUGGCAUAUUCUGAGCCAGAGCAGAGCAUGUAAACGUAUUAAGUCGGUGGAACAAAGAUUGGAAGAAUGUCGAUUGUAUGCUAAGUUUAGCAAAUGCUAAAGUUAGAUGAAUCAGGUGGCAUUCUGAGAUUUGUCAUAUAUUCUUAAGGUAUUCAAGUGAAUCCUUAAAAGAUAGCAGAAAUUGAGAAUUUGGAACAACCACGAGUCGUAAUUGAGAUUUGGAAUUUCUUAGCUUACCAGGCUAUCUUGGAUGGUUGUGAAAGAUUUUUCAGUCAUUGCUUUGUCAUUGACGAGACUGUUGAGAAAAGAGGUUAUGUAUGAGUGGGAAGGAAAUUGUGAGCAAAGUAUUGAACAACUGAAGUAUUUCCUCACUCAUGCACGUAUUUUGGUAUUCCCAGAGGAUAGUGGUAAUCAUAAAUUUUUAGUGAUGUUUCUUGAAUGGUAUUGGAGGCAUGUUGAUGCAAAUGUUAGGGUGAUUGCAUACGUUUCACGAUAAAUGGAACCUUAUGAGAUGAAUUACCCUACGGGUGACUUGGAAGUCAUGAUUACCAUUCUUGCUGUGAAGUUAUGAAGGCAUUAUAUUUAGUAAGAAUGCAAGAUUUUUACGAAUCCAAAAAGUCUUCAAUAUCCAUUACUUGGAAGGAUUUUAUUAUGAGGCAGUGAAAGUGAAUUGUAUUGCUUAAUGAACAUGAUUGUACGAUCAGGGUGAUCGUAAAGUUUGUUCUAGCUGAAGCACUUGGUGAGAAGACUACAGUAAGAUUAAUGUCUGGCACGUUGCCAAGAGUAUCAUCUUGUGGAUUGAAAACCAACGGAAGAAAAGUUAAGAAUGAAAGAUCGAGAAGAAGUUAUACUUGUUAAAUUUCAAGUUAGGCCUGUUUGGUAAGGUCGUACUCGAAACUUAAAUGUUUGACGAGGAAUUUAAGAAUUAACCAAGGCAAGGAAAGAAAGGAAAAAGAAUGAGUACAUGAUUCGUGAAUCAAAUGGUAUGUGGAUACAAGAAAACAAAAAGUAUGUGCCUAAUGCUGAGGAUUUGAAGCAAGCAAAUAUUGGACGAAGUUCACUGUUCAACUUCUGCAAUAUUCCAAAAGUAAUAAGAUUUAUCAUACCAUUCGACAGUUUUAUUGGUCAGCAGAUUGAGGCAGAAAGAAAUAAACCUUUGGAUUGAGAUAACUAUUUUCUGUUUCGAAACGGAAAUGGAAAGAUAUUACUUUGGACUAUGUAUACAAGUUUCCCUGUAUACAAGAUGGUUACGGUCGAAUUUAAAGUAAUAGUUGGUUAACGUAACAAGUUAGUACAUUUACUCCAGUGUUGAGUAACAACCUUUCCCAGACAGUGCAACGGUACUUAUUUGUUUUAUGGAAAGAGAAUUGGAUUACGGAACUGCUGAGUUUCUUAAGUAUGUUGGUUUCGCCAGUUUUCAAAGUAACGCCAUAAUGUCCAUGAAACGUGUUAUAUGUGUCGAUUUUUGCUGAAUUGUGGAUGGAAUGCUUCUGGGUAGAGAAAGAUUCGAUCACAAAAGAGUUUUAGUAGACCCUGAGACUAUGGAUGAGUCUCCUCAAAGUAUUCAUGUGAUUAAGUUAACCUGAAGUAACCAGGAAUGGCAAAAGAGAUCAACAGAUGGAUAUGCCACUAAUCGAGUAUAUAAGGUAAAUGGUUUUAUAUUUUCGAAGUGUUCACCAUAGAAAAGUUUAAUUCGGGUUGGAAAGGAAGGCAAGUUAAAUCCUAAAUGAAUCGGACUUAGCGUGAUCAUCGAAAGGUUGGUGAAGUUGAUUAUAGAAUUGAAUGGCUUCCAGAGUUGUUGUAAGUGCAUGAUGUGUUUCAUGAGUCGAUAUUUUGGAAAAUUCACCACGAACAAAAAUGGCGAGAAUUGGAAAGGAGACACAUCAGACCAUUUUUGAUCACUAAAGGAAUCAAUAAAGUUGCAUACAAGUUUGUGAUGCCUUCAAAAUUGGCUAAGGUGCAUAAGGUAUUAUAUUUCGAUGCGUUGUCACUAGGUGGCAGAUUCGUCACAUGGGAUUCUGGUGUAACUAUUGAGAAUUAAACUGGAUCUAAUUAGUGAGGAGCUAAUGACGACUUUGGAUUGGAAAAAGAAGGUCCUGAGAAUUAAGACAGAGUAAGUGGUAAAAGUUUUGUGAAGAAAAUCAUUCAGUAGAAAAUUAUGUGGGAGAAAGAGAAUCGGAUGAGAAAGAUUUACCCGAAUCUAUUGUUGGAGUAUAGUUGAUUUAGUUGGUUGCUGGAAUUUCGGGGACGAAAUUCUAUAAGGAGGGAAGAUUGUCACAGCCCGUCCCGGAAUUAUUAAUUCCGAGGACGUGAAAUGACCAAUGUGACCUUAAACGGGAUUAAGGUGUGUAAAGGUACGACAUUUGUCUUACUUUAAGAUCCUAAACUAGGGUUAGAUUUGUAUGUGUAUGUGUAUGUGUUAAUAUUAUAUGGGUUAAGGUAGGGCCUUAUACCCUGAAAUCCUUCCCCAAAACCCGUUUUGUUGUCUCUCUCUCUUAUCCUUCUCAGUAACCUUUCUUCUCUCUUAUUCUAUCAUUUCAGACUCUCUCUCAUUCUCUCUCUUACUCUCGAACUCACGGCAAACACCAAGAACAACCACAAUCCUACACCAACGUCCAAUCUAAGAUCACCAUCGUGAUCCUGAGGACUUCACGAACACGGGGAUACCAGUUUAAGGUGAGUUUCACUUCGGAAAACCCUAGUUUCAGUGUCACCGUAAUAUUGCACUGUUCACGAACUUCAAAUUGGCUUUGUUUUAGGCCAAAAUAAGAUCAUAGUGAGCUUAAGGAAGUUCCAAGGAUGCUCGGAGUGUAACGUUUGGAAGUUUUGGACGUCGGGAUCGUUGAGUUCGACGUUUGGCCGAUUUUUGGAAUUUUUGGAAGGUAUGAUCCCGUGGUUUUUAGUGUUUAAAACCCUUCCAUCGUGAUUGUACAUGUUAAAUGCUUCAAUUUGGUAUAAAUUACAUGAAAAAUGGACGAAAAACGAAGGAGAAUAGUGGUUUUGAAAAAUUACCCAGUUUCCGGCGCCGGCGACGGUCGCCGGAGCUGAAGGUUGAAGGUGAUGGAAUAUUCCGUCAAGUUUGACGGAAUAUUCUGACGCCGUUAGUCAGUUUUAACGGAAACCGUUAGUUUUUAACGGAAUAUUCCGGGAAUAUUCCUAUCGUCGUUCACUGUAGCCGUCAGUGUGCAUGUCACGUGGCCGCGCGUGGGGGGCGCGUGAGAGCUCCAAAAAUUAUUUUAAAAAUAUGGGGAUGAUCCUGAGGUUGUGUAGGUCACAGUGGUAUAUUCAUAUACCCAAUUUGAGCAAUAUAUGAGGAGUUAUUAGCUAAGAGUGGGAUUAUGCGUUAAAUAACGUUAAUUUGGUUACUUCUCGUAUAGGCGAGGAUUAUACGGACGUCGGGCAUGGCCAAGGGAUGCUCAGGGACUUACGAGACGUCGAUGUAAUCUGUGAGUGGGCAGUUUUGUUUUCCGUAUAUAUAUAUACUUGACGUUUCCCAGAAAUUGAAUUGAAAUGAAAAUAUGUUUAAAAUGAAAUGCAUAUGAAUUAUGUGGAAAAAACAGGAAGUGAAAUACCAUGCAUAGAAUUGAUAUGAAAAAGUAUAUAGAAAUGUGAGUUGAAAUGCCAUGCAUGAAUUAAUAUAUGAUGCAUAUGUAUGAAUUGGUGCGGUGGACGCACAGGUAUGAAUUAAUAUAUGAUGCAUAUGUAUGAAAUGGUGCGGUGGACGCACAGGUGAGUAUUUAUUUCUGUUAUGAUGAUGUUGAUGUAUAUUGAGCUCAAAUCCUGCACCAUAGUUUAGUGCUUAUAGUAUUCACCGCAUCGCACGCUCGCCUUGGAUCCAAGUAGAUGCUAGUCGUACAGUCCACGUAGAGUGGGUACGACAGGCCAGUCGCGAGAGUGUUAGUGAGAUUCCGACUGGUGGGGGUGACCUUAAAUUAUGUGCACAGAUGAUUUAUGAGAAGCACUAGAGCGUAACUUAGGUGCAGAAGGCCGUACAGGUCACGCGGAGUGACUCCGGCAGAGAGUGAGAGUGAUAGAUUUUGAGCUCUAGGUUCAACCGUACAGGGCUAUUAGAGGGCCUCCGGUUGAUUACUUUAUUGCACCUGAUAUGAUUUAUGUUGAUGCAUUCAUACCUUAUUACUGUUGAGAUGAUGUGGCAUGGCAUAAUUAAUAUGAGAAAAUGUUGAGUUAAUGAAUUGAAGUAUUGAGAAUAUAUAUAUAUGUAUAUUUAUAUUUUAUAUUUCUGGGAAAGUAUACAGGUUUUACGGAGAGGGGUUACAACGUUUUGAGAAAUGUUUGGAUUUGGAAAAGAAUUGUUUUACUGACCCACUCAAUUUUGGUUUUGCGCCCCUCCAGGUUCAGGAAUCACAAAGGUGUGGUGACUACGAGGAAUUUGACGGUGUUCUGACAGAUUGGACAAAAUUAGGACUCACCUUCGGGUGUAUCAACUUAUAAAUUGUAUCUUAAAGCUUCCGUACUGUGUAAAUGGUUACGUCACUCUCACGUGACGGCCAGCAUGCCCUCCUUCGGGACGGGGUUUGUCAAUCAUACCCAUUCAUUUGAGGUUUAAUUUUUUUGAAAAGUUUGCAAGAUUUUUUAUUUAUGAAUCCUAGCAUAACCUUUUUCAAAAGAGAUAUUACAAUAACUGACCAAAGUAAUACGGUAGAAGCAUACAAAAGCAUAAGUAUAGAAGAGUUUAGUGGCCAAGAUAGUUAUUAUUUAGAAAACUCAAAAGAAAAUGAUGAGCAUAGAGAGUUUGAUGAAGAAAUAUUUGAACAUGAAUAUCCAAUUAUAGAAGAAAGAAAUUGUAUAGAAAUAUUACAGUUAGAUAGACCAAAGAGUUUAGAAGAAUUAUUACAAUUAGCAGAACAAACUAGAAUUAUAGGAGAAGACCCAUAAUUGCAUUGGAGUAAAAAUAAAAUAUUAGCAAAAUUAGAUAUAAUUAAUCCAGAUUUAACCAUUAAGACAACUGAUAUGCCUUGUAGUUUAUUAGAUAAAUAAGAGUUUGAGCAGCAAAUAAAAGAGUUAUUAAAUUUAAAAGUAAUUAGACCAUCUAAGUCUAGACAUAGAUCAUCAGCAUUUAUUGUGAGAAAACAUUCAGAGCUUAAGAGAGGUAAGGCUAGAAUAGUUUAUAAUUAUAAGAGAUUAAAUGAUAAUACAUAUGAAAAUAGCUAUAAGUUACCAAAUAAGUAUGAGCUUAUAAAUAAAAUUCAAAAGAGUAAAUAUUUUAGUAAAUUUGAUUGUAAAUCAGGAUUUUAGCAAAUACAAUUAGUAGAAGAAUUAAUUGAGUGGACAACUUUUACUUGUCCAGAAGGACAUUGUGGGUGGCUUGUUAUGCCAUUUGGACUUAAAAAUACUCCAUCGAUCUUUCAAAGAAAGAUGGACCAAAUUUUCAAGAAAUAUGAUAAUUUUUGUAUUGUUUAUGUAGAUGAUAUCUUAGUACAUAGUAAAAAUAGAAAUGAACACAUGAAACACUUAGAGAUAGUUUUGCAAGAAUUUAUCAAUAAUGGAAUUGUGAUUAGCAAAAAGAAUUUUGAGGAAUGUAUAUCAAGUUAGGUACGAUACAAUUAUAAGAUCAUAUAGCUAAAAAGGUCUUACAAUUUCCAGAUAAGUUAGAAGACAAAAAACAGUUACAAGCAUUUUUAUGAUUGUUAAAUUAUGCAAGGAAUUUUAUCCCUGAUUUAGGAAGGAAAAUAGUAGUAUUACAUAGUAAAACUAGCAAAUUAGGACAAAAAUAUUUUAAUAGUGAAGAUAUAAAAUUAGUUCAAAAUAUAAAGCAAGAAAUUACUAAACUUAAGUCAUUAACCUUAUCAUUAGAUAAUAGUUACAAAAUAGUUGAAAUAGAUUCUUCAUCAUUAGGAUUGGCAGGUAUACUAUACCAGAAAAAGCAUAAGGAGUCACCAAAGUCUGACGAAUAAGUUUGUAGACAUUCAUUAGGAAAAUUUAGUGAUGUACAGUCAAAAUUACCAUCAACAGAUUUAUAAAUUUUAGGGAUAAUUAAUUCACUUGAAGCAUUUUCUUUAUUUUUACAUAAUGAAGUAUUUACGAUUAAAACAGAUUGUCAAAAUAUAGUUUCUCAUUAUAACAAGAUACAUGCUAAUAAACAGACAGCUCGAAGAUGAGUUAAUUUUGUUGAUUUAAUUACAGGAAAUGGUUUUAAACCAAUUUUUGAACAUACAAAAGGUAAUGACAACACAUUAGCUGAUAUCUUAUCAAGAUUAAUUUGUUGAAUAGGAAUGGAAUAUCGUGUACCAUCAUCCUUAAAUAGCACCAUACCACAAGGCAGAAAAGCACAUUUCAAUAGCGUAAUGAUGCAUCAUGGACCUCCACCAUUCAAUGGAUUUCAAAAUAGCAUAAGCAAACCAACAUCACCACUAGUACCUACUUUCAACUUUAAUGGUAAUAUUGUUGAAUGAAUCAGAAAUCGUACCCUAAGAUAUAGGUCAAGAGUACUAGGACUUUCUGAUAGGCAACAUGUUCUCUUAGAUAAUUUUUGGAAUAUCUAAAUUAAACGGCCAAGCAUGACGUUUGGUCAUGAAAAAUUAAUUAGAGCAUUAGAAUAAGAGUUUGAUAGCUUUAAUUUUAAUUUCCUUCAAAGUCAGCAUCAUAUUCAUUCUCUUGAGCACAACCUCCAAGUCAUCUCUAGGGACCAUGAGUCAUUACUUAGUAAGUUUACCAAAAUGAACCAAGACCUACAAUCUCUUAGAAUGCAGCAGAAGACAAGCGACACCCUGAAAAGAGAAUUGAACAUAUGUUUGGAAACUGAUCAGCAUAAGAAUAAAGGAAAAUAGGUUAUUGAACCCAUAGAACAAGAGGGUAGUGAGCCCAUAAAAGAAAUUAAGAUUGAGCUCUUAGAUGAAGACAUUGAAAUGGAGCAGCAUCAGCAACUGAAUGACAAAGAAAAACAAGAAAAAUAUGAAAGUUUUCUUAGGAAUAUAUCCUUGGACUUAAUGAUAGAUGAUAUUUUAUUAGAAGAAAUUUCAAAAGCAAAAUUAAGAAUAAUGUCACCAGAUAUGCAAAAUGAGAUCCUCAGCAGAACAUUACAGUCCAUGAAAGAGUUACAAUUACAAUUACAAUGUUCUUUAUAUCAUUCCAUCUUUGAUUCAAAACCAGGGAUGGAUAUUAUUACAAAUAUGUAUCCACCAUGUCUUUGUGAUUGUACAGAGAAUUGUAUUUGUAAGCUGGAGGUUAGCAUAGUUAUAGCCAGGAUAAACAUGAGAGAUUAUAGACCAUGACAUUUAGUUAUGAGCAUUAGGAAAAGCAUAAUGUGGUAGAAGUUACCCCAGUUUUACUAUUAGAGUUUGGCUAUAAAAUAUUCAUUAACCAUAUUUCUCAACUAGAAUUAUUUCCUGAAACUCUUAUAAAAGUAGCAAAAGAUUAUCUAGAAAAGUGGAAAGAAAUUUGCAUAAAUUUUAUUAGUAGUCCUCCAGAUUGGUAUGUACAUAUGCAUAAGGAGAAAGCUAGGCACAUAGCCAUGAUUAAUGAAGAGUCAUUUAGACUAUCCCCUAUCUCCUCACAUAGGUGGACUUCUUCAUAUAAAAAUAUUCUAAAAUUUCGAGGGAUCCAAAUGUUUGCCUUAGAUGAAUUUGAAGAUUUUAGGUAUGAUAUGAUAUUAGUAGCAGAAGAAGAAGAAAUGCAUAUUUACAGCAAGUCAAAAGCCCAAAAUCAGCCAUAUUGGAAGCCUCAAAAUUUCAAAGAAGAAACAGCAAGAAUGUACUACAAAGUAAAAGAAGAUAGAGAAAAAGAAGCAGAACUAGUAGAAGACGAUGAACAGUACUGGAAUAAUUUGACAGAAGAAGAGCUGUAUAACAUUGACAACAUGAUGGAAACAUGAGAAGCUGGCAGCAAAUUAGCAUAAGUUGUGUUGAUGCACAAAAUCAGCGAGGACUUUGGUACAACAGAAAAUGUUAAGUUUAUGACCUUUGCUAGAUUGCUCCGGUUACUAGUGUGGAUAAGUAUGUAAAUGGAUAGAGACAGGGAAGCAAACACAAGAUGUACGUGGUUCACCCAGAUUGGCUACAUCCACGGAGUAUAGUAGUUCUCAUUAAUUGUGAAGGGUUUACACAAGUACAUAGGUUCAAGCUCUCAUUUAGUGAGUACAAGUGAAUGAUUUAGUACAAAUGACAUUAGGAAAUAUUGUGAGAGAAUGAUCUCUAUUUAUAGAAGAGAGUUUCUAGUUUCAUUCUGACAUUGACAUGUGUCGUGUUGUGAUUGGCUUCUGAUGUUAACACGUGUCGCUCUAUGAUUGGCUUUUGAUGUCGACACGUGUCGCUCUGUAAUUGGCCUCCUGGUUGGAGGGAAACUCUUCUGGGUCCUUGACGGUAUAACGUUGACUGGUGCUCAGUAGUUUCGAGAUUGGUCAAGUAUGGUACAAACAGUGCUCCCCUAAGUUCCAGAAUGAGGGAAGCUCAUUGGUUGGGGACUUGCAAGAUCCAAGCCAUUGAGUAAUCAUGAAACUUCUAAGUACCGAAGUGUGGUAUCAUUUUCACUUGCCUUAUAUGUCUCAUACUUAGAUGUGACAUCUUCUCUGGAAGUACUUUUUUCUCCAUCCAGGGGUGGGAUCUUUAACCGAUGAAGAUGCACAAGGUAAUGUAUCAAUUUCACUUGAAACUUACUUGUAGUUUCAGGCUUGGUUAAGUGCGAUACAAAACCCUAUAGUAGGAGUCCCCCAAGUCGCCGAGUUAGGAGAUUUGCCGAAAGAGGUAACAGAUAAGGUAAGCAAUCAAAUUUCCAAGCAAGCAACCUGGAUCGGAGGUUCGACUUCGGCUUUCGAUUGAUUGUUUUCCUUCUCCCUCUGUCGUAAAUAGCAACAAGGAUAAGGAGAAGCAAAUGGAGAAGAGAUGAUAUUAGAUACUUUUGCUUUUGAAGAAGUAACUUUCCACAGACUUAUUCUUAGGGCUGGAGGGUUUUCUGGUUUCCUCCAGAGUAUAAGGCCGACUCAAGAAUUUGAGGGUCAAACAAGUCCAUCAAAUCAAGAGUGCGUUCGACCUUGAUGAUAUGAGAUACUUUUGCUGUUGACUAAGUAAUAGAUGAAUCAGCAUGUGUUAUGUUGCGCUUGUCUCCACAUGCUUCCUUGUAUCUUUUUCACUUGCCCUAUUUAUUCCUCAGGCAGAUGUGGUAUCUUUUCUAAAAGCAUAAGAUGUUGAAGAUGAGUACUCGAGAGCAAUGCUAGGUAAGUAAUCAGGCAAGGGGUUCAAGGCAAUCAGUUCCUGACUGGAAGCUUGAUUCCAAGUGGUGACUGAUUGCUCUCUUUCUUCUUGUCUUGCAGGAAAGAACAAGGGCAAAGGAAAAGACCGGGAAAAAGCAUGAUAUGGGAUACUCAUGCUUUUGACCCUGAUGAUAUGAGAUACUCUUGCUCUGGUGUGGCUGGUUUGCAUAGGUAUUAUUGGGGGGAAGAAAGCUGAGUAUUUCGAAGGCUUCGUUGGGAGUUCCCUCUCAGAUAUGAGGAAGGGUUGAGCAUUUUUGCAGGUCUGCCUGUCUGUGGAGGAUGGAGGUUGACAUAUAUAGGAGUUUCCCUAACAACAAGUAGUAAUACUAUUCCUUUACCCUUCUUGAUCAUAGCAAUGUAGUGGGAGCUACAAGCUUCACGUGUUUUAACUUUGUCAGAGCACUUUGAAAAAGUGGUAUGUGGUAUCUGGAAAGCUGAUGUUGCGUGUGAAGAUUGCAGACAAGCUUUAUCCAAGGAUCUGGCUCUCGAAGUUCGGAGAGCAAUGCUUCUUUAGUUUUCGAACAAGCAAUCCUGUCGGGGAUCUGUCUCUCGAGAUUUGGAGAGCGGUGCCUCUUUGAUUUUUGAGAAAGCAACCAUGUUGGGAGUCUGGCUCUUGAGAUUCGGAGCGGUUGAUUUUUGAGAAAGUAAUCAUGUUGGGAGUCUGGCUCUCGAGAUUUGGAGAGUGGUUCCUCUUCGAUUUUUGAGCAAGCAAUCUUGUUGGGAGUGUUUUCUCGAAUGUGAGUAAAGGUUGGGCAUUUUUGCCAGUCUGCCUUGCCACGGAGUACGGAGGUUGACACACAUUAGGACUUUCUAGUUAUCAAGCAGUGGUGCUGUUCUUUUACCCUUGUGGGUAAUAGUAGGGUAGCUGGACCUUCAAAAUUUAUGUGUCUAAACUUUGUCAGAGAUCUUUGGUAAAGUUAUCUGUGGUACCCGAUGAGCUAAUGUUGCGUGUGGAAAGUGGUGCCUCUUCGAAAUCGAGAGAGUGGUGCCUCUUCGGAAUCCGAAGAGUGGUGCCUCUUCGAUUUUUGAACCAACCUCCCUGUUGCCCUUUCUUUUAUCAGGGCACCAAUUUUGUGUAAGGAGUACAUUCAGAGAGUUAUUGCUUGUAGGAAUUUUCCCAUUACUUCAGAGAUUUAUUGCACCUCAAUUCUCCUUCAUCAUUUAUGAAAAUGUUUGGCCCAUCCGACCGUCGUUUCGACUUGAACUUUGGUGAAGAGGCAGCCAUGCCUUUUCAAGACAACAUAUGGCGCCCAUCCUUCUUAUCCCCUACUGGUCCUCUUACCGUUGGUGACUUUGUGAUGAAGAAUGAUAUGACCGCUGCGGUGGUGGCCAUGAACCUUCUCACUCCCAAAGAUAAUAGACUACUUUCCAAACGGUCUGAUGAGUUAGCUGUUAAGGAUUCUUUGGCUCUCAGUGUUCAGUGUGCAGGUUCUGUGUCUAAUAUGGCCCAACGCCUAUUUGCUCAAACCCGCCAAGUUGAAUCAUUGGCGGUUGAAGUGAUAAGUCUCAAACAGGAGAUCAGAGGGCUCAAGCAUGAGAAUAAACAGUUGCACAAGCUCACACAUGACUAUGCUACAAACAUGAAGAAGAAGCUCGACCAGCUGCAGGAAUCUGAUGGUCAGAUUUUACUUGAUCAUCAGAGGUUUGUGGGUUUGUUCCAAAGGCAUUUAUUGCCUUCGUCUUCUGGGGCUGUAUCACGUAAUGAAGCUCCAAAUGAUCAACCUUCGGUGCCUCCUCCUUCUGGGGUUCUGCCUAGUACUGAGGCUCCGAAUAAUCACCCUCUGGUGCCUCCUCUUUCUGGGGCUCUGCUGACUGCUGAGACUUCUCCUGAGCAACCUUUGUGAAGGCUCCCUCUUGUUUGUUUAUUUUGAUUCAUGUAUAUGUACAUAUUUGUAACUUAUCGGAGAUAUCAAUAAACAAGCUUUGCUUCAUUUCAACGUAUUGUGUUAAAUACACCAAAGCCUUCUUCACUAAGUUCUUUGAAUUUUUCCUUUUGUUGAAGCUUGUAUGUUGAAGCUUUAUGAGUGAAGCAUGUAGGUUGAGGUAGUGCUCCCUUAAUUUCCUGAGUGAGGAAAACUUCUCGUUUGGAGACUUGAAAAUUCUAAGUCACUAAGUGGUCAUGAGACUUUCGAGUAUCAAGGUGCAGUAGCAUAUGGUAGGAGUCCCCCAAGUCUCCGAUCGAAGGAGUUGACGAAUGAGGCAUUUCCUUUCUAAAUGGUAGCCCAAAACUCCUUCUUCAUAUAUAUUUGUUAUGAAAGUUGUUAGACCUAAAGAAGAGGAGGCCUAGGCAAUUUUUUUUUUUGAAAUUUUUUUUUCGAAUUUUCAAAUUUUUGAAUUUCCUAAUUUUUGAAUUUUUGAAUUUUCGAAUUUCCGAAAAAAAUAAAAUAUAUAUAUAUAUAUAUUUUAAAGCUUUGUAGGUGAAGCUUUGGUGUUGAAGCUUUGUAGGUGAAGCUUUGUUGGGCACCAUGAAUUGAUUUUGCUUCACACUAUCUUGAUCAAGAUAGUGUGAAGCUUUUGUAGGUGAAGCUUUUGUGUUGAAGCUUUGUAGGUCAAGCUUUUGUAGGUGAAGCUUUUGUGGGUCAAGCUUUUGUAGGUGAAGCUUUUGUGGGUCAAGCUUUUGUGGGUCAAGCCUUUGUUGGUCAAGCUUUUGUGGGUCUAGCUUUUGUGGGUGAAGCUUUUGUGGGUUAAGCUUUUGUGGGUUAAGCUUUUGUGGGUCAAGCUUUUGUGGGUCAAGCUUUUAUGUUGAAGCUUUUGUGGGUGAAGCUUUUGCAAGUGAAGCUUUGGAGUUGAAGUUUGUAGGUGAAGCUUUGGAGUUGAACCUUUUGUUGGGUACCAUGAAUUGAUUUUGCUUCACACUAUCUUGAUCAAGAUAGUGUGAAGCUUUUGAGAAUUUGUAGUUGUCCUCCAUUGAUGAAGCUUUUGUUGGUAAAGCUUUGGAGUUGAAGUUUUGUAGAUAAAGCUUUGGAGUUGAAGCUUUGUAGGUGAAGCUUUGGAGUUGAAGCUUUUGUUGGGUACCAUGAAUUGAUUUUGCUUCACACUAUCUUGAUCAAGAUAGUGUGAAGCUUUUAAGAAUUUGUAGUUGUCCUCCAUUGAUGAAGAUUUUGUUGAAUUUCCCAAUUUUUUUUUUUUUUAGGAAACUAGAAAUUUGAAAAUGUGGGAGAGGCAACAUAUACAAAUUUUGCUUCCACACUGUUGAGCAAGAGAUUGUGAUGCAAGCCACACCUUGUAGUAGUCGAAGGUUUAGAUGAACCAUAUAAAUUGAAUUUGCUUCGAAGGUCUGAGAAUUGAUGAAGCUUUUGUUGGCACCAUAAAUUGGUUUUGCUUCACACUGUCUUGAUCAGGAGUGUGUGAAGCUUUUGAGAAUUGUGGUUGAACUCCUUUGAUGAAGCUUUUGUUGGCACCAUAAAUUGGUUUUACUUCACACUGUCUUGAUUAAGAGUGUGUGAAGCUUUUGAGAAUUGUGGUUGCCCUCUAUUGAUGAAGCUCUUGUUGGCACCAUAAAUUGGUUUUGCUUCACACUGUCUUGAUCAAGAGUGUGUGAAGCUUUUGAUAAUUGUGGUUGAACUCCUUUGAUGAAGCUCUUGUUGGCACCAUAAAUUGGUUUUGCUUCACACUGUCUUGAUCAAGAGUGUGUGAAACUUUUGAGAAUUGUGGUUGCCUUCCAUUGAUGAAGCUCUUGUUGUUAGCACCAUAAAUUGGUUUUGCUUCACACUGUCUUGAUUAAGAGUGUGUGAAGCUUUUGAGAAUUGUGGUUGCCCUAUAUUGAUGAAGCUCUUGUUGGCACCAUAAAUUGGUUUUGCUUCACACUGUCUUGAUCAAGAGUGUGUGAAGCUUUUGAGAAUUGUGGUUGAACUCAUUUGAUGAAGCUUUUGUUGGUACCAUAAAUUGGUUUUGCUUCACACUAUCUUGAUUAAGAGUGUGAAGCUUUUGAGAAUUAUGGUUGCCCUCCAUUGAUGAAUGGUUUUGCUUCACAUUGUUUUGAUUAAGAGUGUGUGAAGCUUUUAAGAAUUGUGGUUGCCCUCCAUUGAUGAAGCUCUUAUUGGCACCAUAAAUUGGUUUUGCUUCACACUGUCUUGAUCAAGAGUGUGUGAAGCUUUUGAGAAUUGUGGUUGCCCUCCAUUGAUGAAGCUCAUGUUAGUACCAUAAAUUGGUUUUGCUUUACACUGUCUUGAUCAAGAGUGUGUGAAGCUUUUGAGAAUUGUGGUUGAACUCCUUUGAUGAAGCUCUUAUUGGCACCAUAAAUUGGUUUUGCUUCACACUGUCUUGAUCAAGAGUGUGUGAAGCUUUUGAGAAUUGUGGUUGCCCUCCAUUGAUGAAGCUCUUGUUGGCACCAUAAAUUGGUUUUGCUUCACAUUGUCUUGAUCAAGAGUGUGUGAAGCUUUCUACGAGUUGUAGUGUUUGCAUUGUUACAGAGGGGAAAUGUUUGAAGCAGAUGCAAGAGGGCUGAAUAGCUUGAUCUUCGUAUGCCAUGCACUGAAGUUGUUGUUGGCUUGCAAUAAGACUUUGUUGGUGACUAUAACUCUUGUUGGGCAUAAGUGCUCCCCUAGUUGAGUUGUCAAGCUUGAGGGUUUUUGAUUAUUUGUGAAUGCUAGGAGUUCACAUGUACAAGUUGUACCACUCGUCUUCUAGUAGGUGGAAUGAAUGGUGAGUUGCUUUCAUCACUUGGUUGGUGGUACGAAAGUGAGUUCAUUCUUCCCUUGGUUGGUGGCAUGUAUGGCAAGUUGCCAAAUGAUAUUAGAGUACGGGUUGUACAUUUCAUUUCAUCACCUGGUUGGUGGCAUGAAGAUGAGUUCCUUCUUCACCUGGUUGGUGGCAUGAGUGGCAAGUUGCCAAAUGAUAUUAGAGUACGGGUUGUACAUUUCAUCACCUGGUUGGUGGCAUGAAGGAGAGUACGGGUUGUACAUUUCAUCACUUGGUUGGUGGCAUGAAGAUGAGUUCCUUUUUCACAUUUCAUCACCUGGUUGGUGAGAAUAAGGGCAAGGUGUCUAGGCACAUUGUAGCAAGUGUUGAAUGACACAAAAUAUGUUGAACCUUUUCAAAGCACAGUUGGCUUAUGUAUGAAUGUGUUGGAAUGUAUGAUUGAACGAAUAUACUGUGAAGCUGUUCGUUUAUUUGUAUAGUCUUGUUGACAUAUACUUAGACUUUGUUUCAUGUUGGAAGCAUUCAUGUUGAAGCUUUGAACCCGAGUGUUUCAUUGCUAGGAAUGUAAGAGGAUUAGGAUCGAGUUGUCUAAAUCACCUCUUUAUUGAAUUCAUGCCAAAUAGUCUUCGUUACAUAGGAUGCCGAACGGCUGAAGCUUAACACUUGUACAAUGUGAGUUUACUUGUAAUAGUACUUCAAGUGAUCAGCGUUCCAUGGAUGGCCAAAGGGUCUUGCCAUCGGAGCUUCUAAGCUUGUAGGAGCCAGGGCGACUGAUGCCAACAACUUCAAACGGUCCAUCCCAGUUUGGACUAAGUGUUCCUUCACUCGGGACUCUGUCGCAGAGUAAUCUUUUCUUCAAUACCCAGUCCCCACUUUGAAAGAACGAGGUUUGACCCUUGAGUCAUAUAGUAGUUGGAGAUGCGCUGCUUGUAGGCAACAUUCCUCAAGUGAGCCUGGUUUCUGUGUUCCUCGACUAGAUCUAAGUUGAGGGUAAGUUGUUUGUCAUUUUCGCUUUGAACGUAGUUCUGGACUCGGAACGUUGCUUGCUCAAAGUCAACUAGGACAACUGCCUCUGUACCAAAGGUAAGUGAGAAUGGGGUUUCUCCUGUUGAUGUCCGAUACGAAGUGCGGUAUGACCAAAGAACUUGGGGUACAAAUUCUGGCCAACAACCUUUAGCCUUGUCCAAGCUGGUUUUCAAAGUUCGCUUGAUUAUUUUGUUGAUGGCUUCAACUUGUCCAUUAGACUGGGGAUGAGCUGGGGAGGCAAAACAUAAGUUGAUGUUGAACUUAGAGCAGAACAUCCUGAACUUAUUGUUGUCGAACUGUCGCCCAUUGUCAGUGACUAUCGCAUUGGGAAUGCCGAAUCUGCAAAGGAUGUUCUUCCAUACGAAGUCUUCUAUUUUUGCCUCAGUAAUGGUUGCCAAGGGUUCUACUUCGGCCCACUUUGUGAAGUAGUCAACUGCAACGAUUGCAUAGCGAACCUUGCCCAUCCCUGCAGGAAUUGGGCCGAUCAAAUCAAGUCCCCAUUGGGCGAAGGGACAAGGGCCAAGGGCUAAUCAUAGGAGUGAGCGGCUCGGGAGGGGAGUGAGGAAUAGUUGCGUAGCGUUGACACUUAUCACAUGAGCGAGAUAUUCUGAUGGCAUCUUGGUGGAGUGUUGGCCAGUAAUAUCCUUGGCGAAAAGCCUUGUGUGCUAGGGAUCGAGAUCCAGCAUGAUCUCCGCAGACUCCUUCAUGUAUUUCCCGAAGGACAGUUUCCGCCUCUGCGGGCGUAAGGCAUCUUAGGUAUGGUAGGUUAAAACCCUGCUUGUAGAGUUGGUCAUUAAUGAUCAAGUAACGGGUAGCCUUGUAUCGAAUCUGCUUAGCUUGGACUUUGUCAUUUGGAAGGGUGCCAUGAGCAAGGAAUCUAUAAAUCGGGGUAAUCCAACUAUCUCCUUGUUGUAAGUUGCACACUUCCGCAGCCAUGGUGCUUGGUGCUGCCAACAAUUCGACCUGAAUUUUUCUCCCAAUCUUGUCUUCCACCGCUGAGGCGAGGCGAGCCAAAGCAUCUGCAUGACUGUUUGCCGCUCGAGGAAUUUGGGUGAUCUGGUAGUGGAAGUGCUUGAGCAACAAUUGUGUUUGUGCCAGAUAUGCUGCCAUGGAGCUAUCCUUAGCGUCAAAGUUGUUGGUGACCUGGUUAACCACCAAUUGGGAGUCACUGAAGAUAUCAAUUCGUUUAACCCCAAGGUGUUUGGCCAAACGUAAGCCUGCUAUGAGGGCUUCAUAUUCGGCCUCAUUGUUCGACGCCUUGAAUUUGAAACGAAGAGCAUACUCCAUCGCCACUUUGUCAGGGGUCGUAAGGACUAGUCCUGCUCCACAACCCUGUUGGUUGGACGAGCCAUCAACAUAUAGACUCCAUGCUGGGGCUGUUGGUUCUAUUUUCUGAGCUUCCGAGGGUAAUGAAACCACUUCUUUAGGCGUAGAAACAAUGUCAACAGGAUAUGUGAAGUCGGCGAUGAAGUCUGCCACUGCUUGGCCCUUCUCAGCUGGCUUUGGUUGGUAGGAGAUGUCAAACUCACCCAAUGCUAUCGCCCAUUUGAUCAUUCGCCCGGAAGUGUCAGGACUUUGGAGUAUCUGUCGAAGAGGAUGAUUGGUAAGCACGAUGAUGGAGUGUGCUUGGAAGUAAGGGCGAAGUUUUCGAGCAGACAUGACCAAUGUUAGAGCCAAUUUCUCAAUGUUGGAGUAUCAUGUCUCUGCAUCUUGUAAGGCCUUGCUAGCGUAGUAGACAGGCCGUUCGACAUUACCAUCCUUUCGAAUGAGAACGGAACUUACUGCUGAAGCCGAUACCGACAGAUAGAUAAUGAGAGUGUCACCAACCUCAGGUUUGGAGAGCAAAUGGGCUUUACUCAUGUAGUCUUUGAGGUUUUUGAAUGCCUCAGCACAUUCAUUAGUCCAUGUAAUGUACUUCUUACUUCCCUUAAGUGAUUUGAAGAAAUGAGCACAUCUGUCUGUGGCCUUAGAGAUGAACCUAGUUAAGGCUGCCACCUUGCCAGUAAGGCUCUGAAUGUCUUUUGAAGUUACCGGUUCCUUCAUGUCGAGGAUUGCUUUGAUCUUCUCGGGAUUAGCCUCAAUGCCUCGUUGGCUUAUCAUGAAGCCUAAGAAUUUGCCAGAGCCUACGCCGAAGGCACAUUUGUUGGGGUUCAACCUCAUUCGAUACCUCUUCAGAAUGGUGAAAGUUUCAGAUAGGUUGGUGAUGUGUUGGUCAGCAUGUUUGCUCUUGACUAGCAUAUCAUCAACGUAAACUUCCAUGCUCUUCCCAAUCUGUUCGGCGAACAUUGAAUUGACUAGUCUCUGAUAAGUCGCUCCUGCAUUCUUUAGGCCGAAGGGCAUGACUUUAUAGCAAUAUAGUUCCCUGUCAGUAGUGAAGGCUGUGUGUUCUUGGUCCGGAAGGUUCAUGAGGAUUUGGUUGUAUCCUGAGUAAGCAUCCAUGAAGCUCAGGAGUUCACACCCUGCCGUAGAGUCUAUAAGUCUGUCUAUGAGAGGAAGAGGAAAGCUAUCCUUCGGCAUCCUUUGUUUAGGUCGGUGUAAUCGACACACAUUCUCCACAAGACCUUUUGGAAGCAGGAGACUUUCCUUGGUCGGAUUCUUCUUAACAAGGACAACAUUUGCUACCCACGUUGGAUAAUUGACUUCACGGACGAAGCCUAUGCCUUUGAGUAUUUCAACUUCUGCCUUCAUUGCCUCGUACCGUUCAGCGUCAUAAGAUCUUCGCUUCUGUCUCACUGGCUUAGUCUUGGGGUCAAUACUUAAGCGAUGACAGAUUAUAUCGAAAGAAAUGUCUGGCAUGUCCUCGUAUGACCAGGCGAAGACCUCAGUGUUCUCUUGCAAAAAAGAGAUCAAUGCCAACCGAAUGGGUGGUGACAAGGUGGUACCAAUCUUUACCAUGCGAUCCGGAUAAUCUUUUGAGAUAAAGACCUUCUCCAACUCUUCAGCGGAUUGUGUUUGCUGGGUGAAAGAGUCAUCUUGAGAAUCGUCAGGUUGAUUGUUACCACCGUGAAGAUCCAAGUUGGCUUUAUCUUUGCUGGUCUUUAUGACUUGGUCAUGUAUCGAAAGGGGUUCCUUGGGCAUAUGCAGGUGUUAUUGCUUGAUUGAAGUGUUGUAACAUGAUCGUGCACUAAGUUGAUCUCCUAUGAUGUAACCAUUGCCAUAGGGGGUUGGAAAUUUCAUCAACAACAUAUGUGUGGAUAUCAUGGCCUUGAGAUCACUGAUGCCUGUGCGUCCAAAGAUGACAUUGUAUGCCGUUGGGCAAUCAACCACCAGGAAGUUAGUGGUAAUGGUAGCUGUGUAAGGGCAUGUACCAAUGGUGGAAGGUAAGUGUAUGCUCCCCAAAGGUUGCACAAUAUCACCAGAGAAGCCUAUCAGAGGGGAAAUCGAGCGGUCGAGCAAAUGUUCAGCUACAUUAAGUGCCCUGAAAGCUUCAGCAAACAUGAUAUUGACCGAAGCCUCAGUGUCUCCCAGGAUUCAUCAUACUUCAAAGUUGGCUAUGUGAGCUUCCACGAUCAGUGGGUCGUUGUGAGGGUAAAUAAUACCUCUUUCUUCCUCAGGGUAAAAACAUAUUGGAUCCCAGUUAGGCUUUUGAUACUUACCUCCCCUGAUGUCUUCCACGUGAAACACUUGGUGGCCAGACCUUAAAGCUCGUUCACUAUUUUUCAUGGCCCUGUUGGAAGAUUUAGAUAUGGGUGUGCCACCACUUAUGGAAUAUAUCACAUUUACCUGGCGUUGGUUACGGUUACCCCUUGGAGGGUGAAGGAGGAAUUGAUCAAUUUUUCCUUCACGUGCCAAAGCUUCAAUAUGAUCACGAAUGGUGAUACACUUCUCGCCGUCAUGGCCGUUAUGCUCGUGGUAGCAGCAAAACGUGCCCGUGUUCUUCGUGGGCUUGUAAUCUGGGUGCCUCGGCUUUGGCUUCGGUAUCAAGUGUGUUAUGCUGGGGUAAAUGGCCACGCAUGUGCCAAUCAAAUGUGUGUAUGCCUCAUACCCCGGGGUAGGGGCUGUCCUGACACGUGCUUGACCCAUUGUGUUGACUGCCUGGGGUCGAUUAUUAUCAUGGCGAUACCCUUGGUUAUCGCGGUAGUUUCCCUUACUCCUUUUACUAAAAUGAGACUGGUAAGGAUGGAAAUCUUUCCUUUUGCCUUGAGAUUGAUAUGUCUGUUGACUUGGCAAAGUAUUAAGUAAGGCAGGGGGAGGCACUGCUGCCGUUUGGAAGGUCAAGGUCUUCUCAUUUGGUUGGAUCUGGCUUCCACUCCCUACUUGCUGAUAAGGGUUGGUUAUGGGGGGUUUCCCUUGAUAUGUUCUUGCCUCGGCGGAGGCAUGGUUGUAAGCCUGUGCCAUCACCUCAGAGUAAGUCUUCCAAGUGUUGGCAUUGAUCAUGUACUUGAAGAAACAAUCAUGUAGGCCUGCCGUAAAGGCCUUGAGGGCGGUCUUGUCAUCUGCCUCAGCGCAGUGAGAAUACUCAUGGCUGAAACGACCAGCAUACUUUUGUAGUGACUCGUCUGGCUUCUAGCGAAUAGUGUACAAGUCAUCUGCAGAAUGCAAGUGAUCGGUCUGGAAGAUGUGUUAAGAGAUAAACAGUUUCCUCAGUUCGUCAAAUGAGUUUACUGUCUUAGGUGGAAGACAAUAAUACCAGUUUAGAGCUCCGCAAGAGAGGGUGGAGGGGAAAAGAAGACAUCGCUCUUUGUCGGUGUGCAUCCGAUAUGCCACGGUGGACUCAAAGAGGUUAAGGUGUUCAAUUGGGUCAUCCUUUCCAGCAUAGAGUUGUAAACCAAGCUUUUGUUUUGUUUUCGCUUGAAGAUGGGUGUCAAGGAUCCUCCUUGUGAGAGGGCCAGGCCUGGGUUGGUUCCAGUCAGGUAUCUCGGCCUGACGUUCGGCCUUCAACUUGUUUACUUCCUCAAUGAGCUGUAGGACAAUGGGGUCUUGAGUGGAGUCAUGUACCACUGGGAUUUUCUUUGGACUCGCCGUACUGACUUCUAGGAAGUAAGAAAGUUUAAGCAAGGGCGUGUGAUUUUUCCAUCGCCUCUUGGAAGUAGGAAAGUUUGAGCAAGGGCGUGUGAUUUUUCCUUGGACUCGCCGUACUGACUUCUAGGGCGAGUCUAUCGGAAUACCUCAGAGUCCCAUGUACCUUCAUGUUCCUCUAGGACAUGUCGUUCUUUCCCUAGAUUGGCAGCUGGCCUAGGUCGUGGGAGGGGACCGAGUCUUUCAGAAACCCUUGGGUCAUUGAUCUUCGAGCAUAUGUGGAGGAGAUUUUCUUGACGUUGCUUUAAGAAGUCUCGGCAGUCACGAUAAACGGCUUUCAAUCUUUCCAACCCUUCUGCAAUGAGAUAUCUUCCUCCACUUCUCCUGCUUCAAGUCUAAACAGCUGGGUUGAGAGAAGUCUCAUGUUGAUCAAUGUUUUGAUGAUUAGCUCGCUCCUCAUUAGGGAUACCCAUGUCGAAGGAAGGUGACCCUCCGUGUUGGUGGGGCACCGGAUAAUGGUUGAUGUCCACAGGGGCAACAAGCUCGCAUGGUUGAGUACGUAUAGUUUCGUGGAAUGUCUCAAAGAGCUUCUCAUACUGCUCCUGGAGGACCUCAUUCUUCAUUGCUAUCUUGUUGUUUUGAGCUUCUAGCUCAUCGAAUUUAGCUUGAAGAGCAACCCUCAUUCCUUCAUUCUUUCGUUGCUUCGCACUAGGUGCAAGAUGGGUGUCAUUCUGUGUGUUGUGGCUUCCUUCGCUUUCCAUGUUGGAGAAGGAUGCCUGGUCAAAAGAGAGUGUACGAAUGGUGGAAACCAGCUUGACAAAGCUGAAGAGAGUGGGAAUAAGUGUCGUUCCCACAGACGGCGCCAAAUGUUGAUGCACAAAAUCAGUAAGGACUUUGGUACAACAAAAAGUGUUAAGUUUAUGAACUUCGCUAGAUUGCUCUGGUCACUAGCGUGGAUAAGUAUGUAAAUGGAUAGAGACAGGGAAGCAAACACAAGAUGUACGUGGUUCACUCAGAUUGGCUACGUCCAGGGAGUAUAAGAGUUCUCAUUAAUUGUAAAGGGUUUACCCAAGUACAUAGGUUCAAGCUCUCCUUUAGUGAGUACAAGUGAAUGAUUUAGUACAAAUGACAUUAGGAAAUAUUGUGAGAGAAUGAUAUCUAUUUAUAGAAGAGAGUUUCUAGUUUCAUUCUGACAUUGACACAUGUCGUGUUGUGAUUGGCUUCUGAUGUUAACACGUGUCGCGCUAUGAUUGGCUUCUGAUGUUGACACGUGUCGCUCUGUGAUUGGCCUCCUGGUUGGAGGGAAACUCUUCUGGGUCCUUGACGGUAUAACGUUGACCGGUGCUCAGUAGUUUCGGGAUUGGUCAAGUAUGGUACAAACAAGUUGAAUAACAUCAUGUAAAAUAAUGUAUUUUGGUUAGACAGAAAUGUCAACAUCAUUGUGGACCCCGCUAUAAUAAUAAAAAUGGCAUAAGAGUAAAUAAAGAAAAGAGCUUGAUCCAUUAUGGACUUUUCAUACACAAAAUGUCAUUUUGAUUAAAAAUGAAUAGUGCCAAGCCCUUUUCGUUAAAACUCCCAAUGAAUAAAGUUCUAUUUUUGUGCUCAAGUUCUUAAAGUGCUUUAUGGGUUUAAAGCAUUUCUAUCUCUCCAAUACAAUUGUAAUGCUCUACUAGUUAAUUAGACUUUGUGUUUUUCAUACCUUUUAAUUGUUUAGCCAAUUAACACUCAGCCUCAUUACAACUCUAUGAAAGACCUUUUGAUUCAAGAAGUUACUUGAUAUUGAUAGUGAGUUAGGUAGACAAGCAAGCAUAUGGCGGUAUGUUUUGUGAGAUCAUUUGAAUGAAACAUAUUAACCCACAAAUAUGAGUUAAUGAGUGUAUGCCUUGUGAGAAGCUCUUUGUAUGCAUAUGAUAAUUUUAAGAAGCUUGGAAUUGCAUUGACAUGACUAUUACACACACUACACUCCAAGUUGGUUCAAUUCAAAUUUGGUUAACUCUUGGAUAAUGUCGUGAACUAUUGUUUAUUUCUUGAAAGUUAUCUCACGGAUGGGUUUUCACCAAGAUUAAAAUUUAGAGAUUAGCUAUUAAUUUUUUUUUUGUCGAGUCCUUGUGUUUUCUUCUGUUAUGCUUGAGGACUAGCAAAGUCUAAGUUUGGAGUUAUUUGAAGCGGUAAUAUUUCAUAUAUUUUUAUCAUAUAUUUCCUUUGGAUUUUGUGUAUUCAAAUUGGUUAAAUGCACUAAAUCUAAUUGUUUUUAAUAUAUAGGCUUUAGUACCAAAGUUACGCAAAAAAGAAAUGAAAAAUGGUGAUUUGGGGUAUCUAGGGUAAUUUCGGUGGUGCAAGAGUCGAACUAACUGCACGAAGACAUGUGCAUUACAACAAGAAGAUGAGACUGCAAUGGUUUUGGAAAUCAAAUCGACAUGGGGACACUAUUCAUUGGAUUUUAGGAAAGAACUUAACUACUAGUUGUAUGAUUUCCAUUUAAUUUUCCCUUUCUUUAAUAAGGUCUUAAAGUCCAUUAAUUAGUUAGUGGGUUUUUAACAAAGUUCUAAAAGAUACUAGGCGUUAGUUAGGCAACAGGUUGGGGCCUAGCGCCUAGGCAGAUUAGGCAGAUUUAAGUAAAUCCAUUAUAUUUCAUGUAAAUAAGUGUCAAUUUAUACUUAAUAUAUAUUUAAUUUCAUCAUAAACUACAAGCAUAUAAUGUGUUCUCAUUUAAGUAUUCAACAAGUCUCUUACAAUUUAUUGAAAAAAUAAAAUGCAAAGUGAAAGUUAUCUAUUUUCUAUCUAAGUGAGUCGUAACUUAGGCGGGUGCCUAGGCGGGUCUGGGCGGGCUAAGUGGGUGCCUGGGCGGGCGCCUCAGCAGGUCUAGGCGCCAUUUCUUAAUUUUGAAACGCCUAGGCAUUAUCCGGGUGGUGGUCAACCACCUAACGCCUAGACGAUGCCUAGGCGGCGCUAGGCGGAGACUUUUAGAAAAGUGGUUUUAAUUAGAAUUUAGUAUGAUUUAUGUUUAUUGCCAUGGGUUACAAAAAGAGAUUAAAACUCCUUAUGAAAAGGAGGAAGGCCACCAAAAACCAAAAAUCAUCAUAUUGGAGUAAAAUGCUGCUGCAAGAAGGACAAGAGGAAGAACUUUUCAUUUUUUAUUUUGCUAGGGCUACGAUGUAGCCUAAUCAUGAAUAUUUAAUUGUAUUGUGGCAUUGUUAUUAUCAAGUUUUUCUUCCUUAUUGAGUAUCAUUUGCUAAUCAUAAUGCACUUGAUUUUUAUUUAGAUGCUUGAUUCCCGCCUAGGUUUCAAUUAAGUUGAUUUGAUGCAAGUUAGAGUAGAUGUCAUACUUAACUUGGGUUUAGUUUCUUGUAAUUGAUACCAUAAACACCUAUUUGUAGAUGCCAUGCAAUUAGGGUUUGUGUGAUUGUCCAACGAUUUCCAUAGAGCUUAAGGAGUUCUUACUUGUUUAAAUUCAUCUAGAUGUCAUAGAGGGUUAACAUGUAAGGAUACUUUUGAUGCAACUAGAUGCCAUGGGCAUUGAAUAAUUUAGGAAAAAUCGAUGAUCAAUAUUGGGGAACUACUUGAGCAUAACAUAUUAAGGGAAUUAAGUAAAAUUGGUUAUGGUGAAUUCGAAUGCCUUAGGUAUUCUUUUCUUAUGUUUUCAUUUUAUUAUUUACAUGCAUUUUAUUUCAAGCUUUAUUUUAUUUCAGUUUAAUUCAAAAUCUCCUAUCUUUUUUGUUAAAACUUCUCAAUCAUAAUUUGUUUCAAUUUAGUUGGUAAGACUUUAGAAUCAAUUCAAUUUCUGUGAAACGAUAUCCAUGCUUAUAUGUUAUACAAUCAUCCGAUUUGUAUACUUGUGAGGACUAAAAUUCGAGACUUAAUGAGGUUAAUUUUGAUUAUCUAAUUUAGUUUUGUGACUCACUGCACAUUUUGUUAAAAAAAAAAGUCUUGAUUUCAAAUCUUACUAAAGUUAAUUAUUGAAUAAUAUUUGUUUUUUCAAAAAGAGAUCCCACAUACGUUAGCACUUACUUUCUAAAUGUUUCAUAUUUAGCAAGGGAAUUGUUAUUGGCAUUCUAAAAAUCUCAUUUUACACUCCAAAUUUUCUAUAUUUGGAAAGAAAAAUACACUUGUGAGGAGUGUAGAAUGAGAUUUUUGGAGUCCCAAUAACACUUCCCUUUAGCAAAACCUAAAAUUAUAAGGAUGACCUCAAAUCAACAAGGUUCUCCGUUUUGGGAAGGUCGGGAGAAGAACAUAUGUCGUAUGUAGCCUUAGUUUUGUUUUGUAAAGAUGUUUCUACAACUUGAACCUGUGACCUUUUAGUUAAAGGAGUAACAUUUUCAUUUUGCCAAGUAUAGUGGGAUUUAAACAUGAAAUUGAAUGUUCGUCUUUUUAGAAGCAUGAAUAUAUAAAUGAGUGCUACUAGGGUGGGGUGAGCCCAUGGUCUGGGUGUUGGGUAGGGGUGGAGGGUGUGAUCGUCAUGCCAAGGUGGUGGGGGGUGUGGGGGAAAAUUUGUCAGCAAUGGUAGAGAGGACAAUUGAUGCAAUGAUCAUGAUGGUGAUGGUGAAUUUGAAAAUGAGAGUAUUUAAAUGAAAUUUAAAGUUCAAAUUUGUAACCUCCAAAUACCAAGUUAUAUUUGACAGAGAAUUUCAAAAAAAAAAAAAGUUUAUAAAUGCAAGCAAUAAAAUUACAUAUGUCAAUUUAGAAAUUCUCAUAUUUGUCAAAAUUUAAGUUUCAAACCCUCCCCAAAUCAAGCCAAAUUCGCUUCGAUUCGAUUCGGUUCAGUUUAGGUUUGGCUAAUUAAACCUAAUCUCGAACGAAACAUAUAGAUUUAUCUUAUAUUUAUUCUUAUACACGUCUGGUUCUUAAAGGGUAAUUUUGUUGUCAUUGUAUUGAACUAGUUAUGAAGGUGUAGUUUGAUGAAUUUCAUUCAUUGUGAGAAGUACCUGUUCUUGAAUGGAAUCCGAGCCAAUUGAAGAACAAUUAAGUUUGGUUUAAGCUCACACCCAAAACCCUUGAAAUUUUACAAAAAAAUAUCAAAUGAGUGUGGCUCAAACCAAACUAUUGUCUUUAAAAACUACCAAGCUUAAUUGGUGCGCGGACUGAGAAAUCAAGAGCUAACUACGUCCUUCUGGUGAAAGCGGGCGUGCUAACUCAUGACCGAGCUCGGUCGGCGAGUAGAAUGAGUGUGAUGGUGAUGUCGAAUGCGCUGCUGACUUUUGUACUCGAGUGAUCACGAUCGAGGAAGGAACAUGUCUUGCCCUUAGAUUUUAGAACCUAAAGGCAAGGUUACUAGUCACCGUGAAGUUCAAGAUCUUUUGCACUAGGUUCAGCUACCUCAACUAUAUUCGUUAAUAUAUAGGUGAGCGGACUUGGAUCAAACUGUAAGGACACAAAUACUCAUACAAGAUAAGUGUCUUGAUGGUGAACAUUGUUUGGUCGUCAAAAUGCCAAACUCUGAAGUGCACCUGAGAAUAACCAAUCAUAGAACACCGCUAGUGAAAUGACCUCGUUUGGCAAAAGAAUCGAAGACUCCUUACCGACUGAGACUUGGAUAGAUAAUCAACUGAGCUUGAAGUAGUGUUGUUAAUCCAAAUUGAAGAUACUUCUCGAUUGCCUGAUUCUAUGUCUCCAAUGCUGUUAAUCCAAACUGAAGAUGUUGUUGGUUGUCAACACAAUGCUGUUACUCCAAGCUGAAAGGGUGAUGACGAAGUUGUAAGAGUUGGUAAUUUCUCAAAAUGUGAGAGGGUUUUGAGUAGCGCGAUUUUGUGCUGAGCGUUUGAAAAAAAAAAUCCAUUUAUAAAUCAAUAUAUUUUUUGACUCUAUUUAGUGUGUUGUGUUGAAGUUUCUUUUCACGUUGCAGACUCCUAUUUAUAGGAGCGAGUUUUGCAAUGACCAAGUAUGCCGAAGUAGAGUCCCACUAGAACUAUACUCCCUCGAUGUACUUUUGGAUUAUGAUAUUAUCCCUUUAUAUGGAAAAACCAAUUCGUACGUGGUCUUCGACCAUUUUAACUAGAAUUAGGAUUCUAAACCCAGUCCACUUAUGCAUUAGAAUCCCACUUCUGUUAGGAUUCAGCCGAAUUCCACUAAGAGCUGGAUUUUGGACAUCAUUUGGCCUGAAAGAUUACCACUAGGCCGGGAAUUAAACCUUAAUGCGAAUUCCCACCUUUGACCCAAAUCCAAUAUUUCAUACCCAAACACAAACUAAGUAUGAAAGUGAACUAAAUCAAACCAAACUAGUUCCAUUUUUCAAAUUUGAUUUUCGAUUUCGAGAGAACUUGAUUGAACCAAACCAGAUGGUGCUUGCCUAUAAAAAGGCAACAAUAAUGAUCCAAUACAAACAAGGGAGUGUUAACGAAAAGGGCUUGGGUUAACUUUUAUUUAAUGAAAAACAACCCUAAACUAUUAUUUAAUAAAAAAGGCUUAAAUUUUAAUUAUAAGGACACAAAACUUAUCUUUUAGGCCCUACAAAAACUAAAACACACGGGCUCAAAAAAAGCCCAAACCGGAUAACAAUUAAUAUUUCAAAAUUGCCCCUAACGGAGCCUAAUCCAGGCUCGUUAGCCAAACUAACGGUUACAAUCCCAAAAUCACUCCUCCAUCCAUCGCCAUUACGAUCGGCAUACCUACCCCUUCAAACCGCACUAAAAAACCGAAACCUCCAUUGCUCGAAACCUCAAGUUCUCAAACCAAUUUCAACUUCGAUUCAAGUUUUCAAACAAUAAUCUACACAUCAAAUCCGGAAUUCCUCAACCCAAAAACUGCAUUUGAAGACGAAAAACUGAAAAAAUUCAAGAUAUAUAUUUGCAGAGUCCAAAUUGGAGAAACAAAGCUAUGAACCUAGAAAUAAGUUGUGUCGGACCGAUGGGAAUUCUUGAACGAUAGCUUUCGGAUAGGCGAGAAGCGACUUCUCUACGAAAUACAACGCCGAAAAAUUAACCCUCCGCCGCCCCAGGUGGCGUCGAUUUGGGCGGUUCCGACGGCAAAACCGAUGAUCUCCCCGUCGAACUCCGGUGACGAGCAGGUGAUGUCUUCGAGUUCGUCGCCGAUCAGAGCAUCGUCGAAGAUUAUGGACGAGAACGAGAGGCUGAGGAAAGAGAACAUGUAGCUCACCAAGGAGCUGGCGGAGGUGAAGUCCCUCUGCAACAACAUCUUCACCAUGGUAUCGAAUUAUGCUUGCGCCCAAUCGGAGAGCGGUUUCCCGGAGCUAAAACCGCUCGGUUUGAUGCCCAAGAAGUGUUUCUCCGGAAAGAGGGAGAACGAAGAGAAGGAAGAGGCGAGUCCGAAGCUUUUCGAGGUGGUGAUUGGGGCCAAGCGUGCGAGAGAGGCCGGCGGCGACGGCGUAGAGAACGAUGAGACCGACUUGCAGCUUCAGCAACCGAGCGUUAGCGAGGUUAAAUCAAAGCUGUCGGAUAUUGGUCAUAAGGAAACGCCGUGGCUGAAGCAGUGCCACAUGGCUAAUCAGAGGGUGUGUAAUUGAUCAUCAGUUAGAAGCAAUGGUAUAUAUUAGAUGGAGUUGUACUUGGAAGGACCAGGAUUGAGGCACGUGUUAAAAUGGGUUCACGUGCGUCGUCAACCUCUAGGGGGCCCCAUUCCCUUCAAGAAGUUUCUUAGACUUUCUUCUCUUUUUGCUUUAUGAAUUUUAGAAAUAACACUUUUGUUUUGUCUUCUGCCUUUUGAUUUUGCAUGAUAUUCCGCAUGGAAUCUGAUCAAAUGUUCCUCACUUCCCACAAAGACAGAAAAAGAAAAAGGUGAAAUAAUAAAUCUACUAGAAAUCAAAGUUGGGAAAGACCAUAUCCAAAGCAACGAAUAAAUAUGAAAGAUUUAACGGCUCAAAAUUCUUGUGUUCAUCGGUAAUAUAAAAUCCUUUUAUUUAUUGUGUCACCUUAUUUUUCAACCUUUCAUUGACUAUUUCUAUAACUGAACACGAUUAUUAUCAUUAUUUCUUAAACUGAACACUUAUACUUUCACUAUUUCUUAAACUGAAUACUAACUAUUUCGUAAACUGAAUAUUAACUAUUUCGUAAACUGAACAUUGACUAUUUCUUAAAUUGAACCGACUAUUUCUUAAAGUGAACACUAGUACUAUCACUAUUUCUUAUUUCGUAAACUGAACCGACUAUUUCUUAAACUGAACCGACUAUUUCUUAAACUGAACACUAGUACUAUCACUAUUUCUUAAAUUAAACACUGAUUAUUUUUUAAACUGAACGCUGACUAUUUCUAUAACUGAACACAAGUAUUAUCAUUAUUUUUUAAACUGAACAUUGGUACUAUCACUAUUUCUUAAACUGAAUACUGACUAUUUCGUAAACUGAACAUUGACUAUUUCGUAAACUGAAUCGACUAUUUCGUAAACUAAACAUUGACUAUUUCGUAAACUGAACCGACUAUUUCUUAAACUGAACACUGACUAUUUUUUAAACAGAACACCCACUAUUUCUAAAAUUGAACACGUGUAUUAUCAUUAUUUCUUAAAUUGAACACUGGUACUAUCACUAUUUCAUAAAUUGAAUAUUGACUAUUUCGUAAACUGAAUUUUGACUAUUUCUUAAAUUAAAUAUUGACUAUUUCUUAAAUUAAAUAUUAACUAUUUCUUAAAUUGAACUGUGAUACUACCAGGAAGGAUAUACAUGAUGGGAAGGGACGUCUUUUUCAUAGGCUUGAGAAACCCAUCGAUUCCCACUUUCUUUUAUUAUAUAUAUAUAUAUAUAUAUCCUUUCAUUGAAAAUUAUUUCAAUUUCAUUCCCCUUCCUCUUUGAGCAUGUGCUUCUCUUCCACUAUUUAGUUUGAUAAAUAGUUCAAUUUGCUUUGGUAAAAAAAUGUGAUUUUCUAGUUUACUUUGAUAAAUAAUUCAGUUUGCUUUAGUAAAAAAAUGUGGUUUUCUAGUUUAGUUUGAGAAAUAGUUCAGAUUGUUUUGGUAACAAAGUAUGGUUUUCUGGUUCACUUUGAUAAAUAGUUCAUUUUGCUUUGGUAAAAAAGUGUGGUUUAGUUUGAUAAAUAGUUUAGUUUGCUUUGGUAAAAAAGUGUGGCUCAGUUUGAUAAAUAGUUCAGUUUCUUUUGGUAAAAAAAUGUGGUUUAGUUUGAUAAAUAGUUCAGUUUGCUUUGGUAAAAAAAUGUGGUUUUCUAGUUUACUUUGAUAAAUAGUUCAGUUUGAUAAAUAGUUCAGUUUGCUUUGGUGAAAAAGUGUGGUUUAGUUUAAUAAAUAGUUCAAUUUGCUUUGGUAAAAAAGUAUGGUUUUCUAAUUCAGUUUGAUAAAUAGUUCAGUUUGCUUUGGUAAAAAAAUGUGGUUUGGUUUGAUAAAUAGUUCACUUUAAUAAAUAGUUCAGUUUGCUUUGGUAAAAAAGUGUGGUUUAGUUCGAUAAAUAGUUCAGUUUGCUUUGAUAAAAAAAUGUGGUUUGGUUUGAUAAAUAGUUCACUUUGAUAAAUAGUUCAGUUUGCUUUGGUAAAAAAGUGUGGUUUAGUUCGAUAAAUAGUUCAGUUUACUUUGGUAAAAAAAUGUGGUUUGGUUUGAUAAAUAGUUCACUUUGAUAAAUAGUUCACUUUGCUUUGGUAAAAAAAUACGGUUUAGUUUGAUAAAUAGUUCAGUUUGAUAAACCUAAUGUAUAAAUUGUGACGCAAUUCACUGAGACUCCCUGCAAACAAGAACAAUCACCCUCCCAUCCAUCCUCCCUCCUAUUGUAGACAUCGAAAUUUCGUAAAUAAAUGUUGACCGAUAAAUCAAAGUGUCAACGCUCAUGUAUUACAUAAAUUUUACACGUAGCGUGUGACUCAACGAAAAUUGAAAUGAGUUGGAAAAGUCAUCAAAUAGGACACGUGUCAACGCCUGGCAGAAACGACUUAUUUCAUCUGGAAUAUUAUAUUCAAAAUUAGGCCUUGGAAAAUUCUAUAAAUACAAGCCCAAUUUCAUUCAUUUAAAAAACGAAUUGAUAUUACACCUUGAAGCUCUGAAGCUCUGAAACUCCGAAGCUCUCAAGCAUCCAGGUUCCCGAAGAAUCAAGAAAGUGUUCUUCGUUCUUCGUUCAUCGUUCUUCCAAGAUCAAGCCUCGACGGCCCUUGGAUCAACAAUCAUCCACCUUCAAGAUCAAGCCCCAACGGCCCUUUGGAUCAACAAACGUCGACAAAUCCACACAUCCAACCGUUCUUCAAGAUUAAGCCCAAAAGCCCUUGAAGAUCUGUUCAUCACUGUUUCUUCAAGAUCAAGCCCAAAAGCCCUUGAAGAUCCGCUCAAAUCCACCUUCAAAGAUCAAGCCCACGGCCCUUUGAAGAAACUUCCAACAGUUCAUCCAAGAUUAAGCCCAAAAGCCCUUGAAGAUCUGUUCAUCACUGUUUCUUCAAGAUCAAGCCCAAAAGCCCUUGAAGAUCCGCUCAAAUCCACCUUCAAAGAUCAAGCCCACGGCCCUUUGAAGAAACUUCCAACAGUUCAUCCAAGAUUAAGCCCAAAAGCCCUUGAAGAUCUGUUCAUCACUGUUUCUUCAAGAUCAAGCCCAAAAGCCCUUGAAGAUCCGCUCAAAUCCACCUUCAAAGAUCAAGCCCACGGCCAUUUGAAGAAACUUCCAACAGUUCAUCCAAGAUCAAGCCCCGACGGCCCUUGGAUCAACGAAACAUCCACAAAUCAACACCUUACGGAGAUCGAAUCAGAGGAUCAAAUUAGAGAGAGAUUGUAACCCAAAAUCAUCAAAACACAAAUAUUUUGUUUGUGCACGUUGUUCUUGUCUCUUUCGUUUCGGGAAUUUUCCGUGUUCACAAAUUGGCACGCCCAGUGGGACCAUCUCUGCCUCUCAUCUCUUUCUCCGUUCAAGAAAUUCAAGCGCACUUCCAAAAUUAAUGGCAUCAAGGAAGGCUCAAACUGUUCCCGCAACCGACGUAAAGAACAAAAGCGUCCUCGUCGCAACUGGUGUCACUUUAGGCAUCACGACUCGAAGCAUGGCAAGAGCUACUUCUGCCGCCUCUUUCACCUCUGCAUCAACUAUGCCAAGGGAACAAAAGCACCCAAGGCACGAGCCUUUGAUCACCUUAGCCUCGCUAAGGGCACCAAGGGGGGAAAGCCCAAGGAAAUACUCCGAAUCCAUGCUCUCCGAUGCCGAUUCAAGCGACGGUUCAGCCAUGCAAGUCAUGACCAUUGGAGCAACUUCAAUCGAUGAGCAGCUGGCUCAAAUGAAUGAAGCAAUCGCAAGGCUAACCCGAACUGUGGAAGAAAAAGACUUGCAAAUCGCUGCACUCGUCAGCCGACUGGAGCCACAGGACGACGAGAACCCUAACCCAGAAGAUGAGCCUCAGGUGGAGAAAAACAAUGCGAAGCCCGAGCCAGAUCAAGCAGCGGCACUAAUGGGAUCUCUUUCUAUCCAGCAGCUGCAAGAGAUGAUCACCAACACCAUCAAGGCACAGUACGAAGGGAGCUUAAAUACCUCCGAGUUGUACUCAAAGCCGUAUUCAAAGAAGAUCGACGCCUUAAGGAUGCCGAGGGGCUAUCAACCGCCGAAGUUUAUGCAAUUUGACGGAAAGGGAAACCCGAAGCAACAUGUCGCACAUUUCGUGGAAACCUGCAACAAUGCAGGGACGGAGGGAGAUUACCUCGCCAAGCAGUUUGUGCGCUCGUUAAAAGGAAACGCCUUUGAGUGGUACACGGACCUGGAGCCCGAGUCCAUCAACAGCUGGGAGCAGUUAGAGCGAGAAUUCCUCAACCGCUUCUAUAGCACCCGCCGCACUGUGAGCAUGCUAGAGCUAACGAGCACAAAGCAGUGGAAGGACGAGCCAGUCAUUGACUACAUCAACAGAUGGCGCACUCUAAGCCUCGACUGCAAAGAUAGGCUCUCGGAGACCUCUUCAAUUGAGAUGUGCAUCCAGGGCAUGCAAUGGGGUUUGCAAUACAUUCUUCAAGGCAUCAAACCACGGACCUUCGAAGAGCUAGCCACUCGCGCCCAUGACAUGGAGUUGAGCAUCGCCCAUCAUGGGAAGAAAGAACCGAUCGCCGACUACAAGAACGACAAAGUUCUUGGGACAAAGGUGGAAAAGGCUGCAUGGAAACCCACCAAGGAAGCGAUGACGGUCAACACAGCUCCCGUCAAAAUAUCCAUACGAGGCAAGGCGAUUCAACCGAAGCUUUUCGUGAUCAAGAGAUGCGUAGACGCACUUUGAAAGAGCUUGAGGAGAAGACUUAUCCAUUCCCCGACUCUGAUGUGGUUGCCAUGUUAGAAGACUUGUUGGAAAAGAAGGUGAUUGGUUUGCCUGAGUGCAAACGGCCAGAAGAGAUGAAUCGCACCGACAGUCCAAGGUACUGUAAAUUCCACCGCUUCAUCAGUCAUCCGACAGAAAAAUGUUUCGUGCUGAAAGAUCUCAUCAUGAAGCUGGCUCAUAAAGGAAUCAUCGAGCUAGAUCUUGACGAAGUGGCGAAGUCAAACUAUACCACCUUCACUUCUGGCUCUUCCGACUCAAAGUUUUCACCUCAACCGCUGGGGGCAUCGUCCAAGACAAGCAAAAUUGAAGGAUGGACUCAAGUCACUCCUAAGAAAUUGCACAAGAAGCAUACGUCUCCUCCACAAGUCCGCCAAUCGGAAAGGGGGCAAAGCAGCUCUUGUCAACCUUCAAAGCAACGUGAACAUGUUGAAAAUGAGGAAAUUUCGACACAUAGAUCGUCCAUCCCCAUCACGAUGCGUGAUUUCUUUCCUGAAGACUUCUUCAAUCACUCGGUCAAGGCUCCUUGCUAUGAAGAUUGCGAGGAACGACUCUCUCAGAUCGCUUGACGAACCAAAGCUCCUUGUCUAUAAGAGCCUAAACUGCAAGACACAAUGCUCCUUGUUCGCACGAGUCUAAACUGCAUGGCACAAAGCUCCUUGUCCGCACGAGCCUAAACUGUAGGACACAAAGCUCCUGGCCUGCACGAGCCUAAACUGCAUGGCACAACGCUCCUGGUCUGCACGAGCAUAAAAGGCAAUACCAACGCUCCUUGUCUGCACGAGUUGAAACUGCAAACGACACCAACACUCCUUGCCUGCAUGAGUUGAAACUGCAAACGGCACAAAAAAGAAAAUACCAAAAAAAUAUAUGUAUGUAUUUGAACUACGUUUUGACUUGAUCUCUUUCUUUGGAAGGGUACGUAGGCAGCUUGAAUAUUCAAUUUCAAGUUCAGUCACAUCAAAAAAAAAAAAAAAAAAUUUAAAAAAAAAAUGUUUUAUUAAAUAUAGUCAAUUUUAUUACAGAAAAAAAAAUACAUAUGUUUUAUGUAUUAAAAAAAAAAUAAUAAUAAUAAUACAGAUUCCUUUUGUAUACAUACAUAUAUAUAUAUAUAUAUAUAUAUGUAUAUAUGACCUCUAUCCAGCCCAUCAAAAAGGGGUCGUCUAAACUCAAAAGGAAGCUAUCCAGGCCCAAGUGACAGCCUCCAAGCCCAGGCUUCCCUCUCAACAACACCAGGCCCACCGGUGCUCUUCCUCAAACAGGCCCCGAAGACCUUGAAGCCAAGCCCACCGUGAUGGUGUUCAUCACCGAUGCCAUCUGCUCCAUUCUCCUCAUACAAUUCUUGGUCGGAAUAAAGGGCAAUAAUUUCCUCUUCUCUUUGAGACCACCAUCCGCUUCUCGUAUUAGUUCCCAAUUCUUCUUCCCCCGCAAACCCUAAUUUUGAAGCUCAGGAGCUCCAAUUUCCGCAGAUCAGGCGAGAUGUGCUGAGGGAGAACGCGAGGAAGAAGUUCGAGGAGGCCCGAUUCGAGAUGGAUCCGGAAGUUAUAACGCGACUACUCAUCGGCGAUCAUGAUGCGGUGCAGUCGGCGAUAGAUGAGCUCGCCGAGAAGCAGCGACAGCAAAUUCAACAGAAGCGCAGGAGACCCAGUCUGCGCUUGAGACGCUGAUGAAUGGCGACUGAGUGAUGACUGGAGAACCGGAGCAGAGGCCUACCUCGUCAAUUCAGAAGGGACACCAGAUCCAUUUCCUCUCUCUUUCUAGACACCCUUCGUGCUCUCCGCCUCGGCCUCGCCUCUGCCGUCGUGGUCUCGCCGCCAUCUCCGACAUCGCCAAAUAUUAAGACCACCUACACCUUGAACGCUGAAUCCAAACCCGAGAUUCCCAAAGUACGACAUGGCGGGCGGAGAAGAAGAGAUCCACUCGGAUGCCCCGGACGGCGACGACGGAGAUGGCGUGGCACUACCGGGCUCGUAUACCAGAUCUAUCAGAGUCUCUUUCCUUGUGUCCGUACGAAGAUUCGAGCACGCGCGAGAGCUUCUUCUUCUCAAUCACGACCGUCUAUCUCUUCAAAAUCACUCGGAAUACACAAUCGAUAUCUACCAAAUGGGAAAACCCAAUCCUGAUGAAAAGAUUCUCAGCUACAAUGAUGUUGUACUCAGACGAUCAGACUUGGAUAUCCUCAGUGGCCCGUAUUUUCUCAAUGAUCGACUCAUCGAGUUUUAUUUCAGUCACCUGUCAUCAUGCUCUGAGGAGAUAUUACUCAUUGCACCUUCAAUUGCAUUCUGGAUGAUGAAUGCGGUUGGUCAAGGCCUCCACGAGUUCCUGGUACUUCUUAAUUUGCCUGAUAAAAAACUGGUAAUCUUUCCAGUCAAUGACAAUGAGGAUGUGAGUGAAGCUGGAGGUGGAUCUCACUGGAGCCUACUUGCAUUUGAGAGAGAUUCUAACGUCUUUGUUCAUCAUGAUAGCAAUGGAGGGAUGAAUAGAAGGCACGCUAAAAAACUGUAUGAUGCGGUUGUUGACUUCAUGAGUGUCUCCAGUUCAGCAACUAAGCCCACUUAUCAAGAGUGUAGUGAUUCACCGCAAAAAGUAAACGGUUAUGAUUGUGGCUUGUUUGUGUUGGCUAUUGCAAGGGUUAUAUGCAGUUGGUACGGAAGUAAAGACAAAGGUGAGCAGACUUUGUGGUUCCAUGCUGUGCGCGAGCAGGUCACUCCAUCUGUUGUUGCUGCAAUGCGAAACGAAAUCCUGGAGCUGAUAAGAGGUCUCAUGCCCGUGAAGUGAAGUUUGCCUACAAAGUGAGAGUCGAUGAAGAAGAGAAGCAAGAUCCGCAAGCUCAAUCACACCUCCUAUGCGGCAUUCGACCCCGAGCUCGGCAGCAGCGGCGAGGACGGCGGCUUGUUGUCCUGAAAUGUGGAAACGGCAGCGUCAGGGUUCCAGUUGUGGGAUUCAACGAAGAAGAGGGCUUCUUGCUUCAAAGCAAAUAUGAUCUCGCAGGAGGAGCUGACGAUGGCAUCGUUUUGGGAAUUGGAUUCUUGAGCUUCGACUUCCAUGACGAUUAGGAUUGUUCAGUGCUCUCCGUCCAUGCUUUUCAUUGUUCUCUUCCUCUUCUACUAUUGUUGUAUGAUGAUGUUGUUGAGCCUGGAAGUUGCUGGCGAUGAACAAGGCCUUGAAGAGGAAAAGAUUGCUCCGGCGAUGAAGUUGUAACUCAGGUCGAGCGUUCUCAGGUUGCUUAACUGUCCCCUCCUUCUGCCUUCUCCUCCGUCUCUUGCCUCGCAGCUGCCACCAACUUCAAAGACCGCUGUCAAACGACUAGCCGGCCAAGAAGCUCUUCCUUAAACUCCAGCUUCUCCGUCCGUCUUCGUCCUUCCCUACAAAAUCCCUCAGCCAAGCAUCCUAAUUUAUACAAAAAAAAAAAAAAAAAAAAAAAAAAAAAGGGGUGG